AGCAGCACUAACUGGUAUAUACUAAAACUGGAAUGAUAGAGAGAAAAUUAGCAUGGCCCUGCACAUGAAAGCAUGAAAAUUCAUGAAGUGUUCCAUAUUUUG
Molecule: small nuclear RNA, 102 nt
Organism: Sorex fumeus (smoky shrew)
Lineage: Eukaryota; Metazoa; Chordata; Mammalia; Eulipotyphla; Soricidae
Source: RefSeq, a predicted model, not a curated record